UCAACAAUUUUUCUAUUUUGCUUUUUUCUCUUUGUUCAACUGUCAUUAGUUCUUUAAUCAAGUCAUCCUGAAGUUUAUCAAGGUGGUGAUUAACGAUUUGUAUCCUGGUUUGUUUUAUUGCUGCUUCAAUUUCUCUUUUCUUGUUUUCUAUAGAUUUUAAAUUUUCAUUCCUGUUUGUGCUUAGUCGUUUAAUAUUCUCGACGACUUCCUGCAGGGUUUGUUCGAUUUCAUUAAAUGCGUUUGAAGUUUUUACGUUUUUUAUGAGUUCAUUUAUGUCAGUUAAACCUUUACAAUCGUUGUGAGAUUUCACACAUUUCUUACAGCAAGGACAAUCGUGUUUUGCACAAAACAGCUCGUAUUUCUCAUUAUGAAGUUUGCAGGUCUGAGAGAUUUGCAGGACUUCGGUGGGUAAGUUUUUGUAUUUGGCGAUAGAAACGGUUUCAUGGUUUUUUGAUGCCUUGGAAACUGCAUGAUGUUUCUUACACUCUCCACAAAGUCCUUCGUCACAUUCGGAACACCAUACUACUGAAGGUUUGGUAAUCUGAAGGUUUUCACAAAUACCACAAAUACCCCAAUUGGUGGCCAUAAUCCUAAAAUAGAUUGCAUGUACUUACAUGAAUACUGUUGUGUUUUUU
RNAcentral lists this long non-coding RNA (635 nucleotides) under Mytilus galloprovincialis (Mediterranean mussel). Lineage: Eukaryota; Metazoa; Mollusca; Bivalvia; Mytilida; Mytilidae. The record is from RNAcentral.